GAAGUUUGUGGGGCUAAAUGACGAUGACGAAAAUAGUCAACUUUUACACUGGUUUCGUUAAGUGAACGAAUGAGAGAAAGGGAUCAGUUUAGAAGCGGAAGUACAUGGUUAUUAGCUUGACCUAAACAUAUCCGGGAAAUCGAUAUGUGGACCGAGUUUAGUUGUAACGUUAGCGAAAACAAGACGCAAUGUGAACAAUGUCCAAGAAAAGAACGCGACAAAUUUGGUGCGUCAUCUGCCGGCAUGUCACCCCGAAAGCACUCCAAGGUACUGUAUGCUGGAAUGAACGGGAGUAAAAGAGUGACAGGAUGGAAAAGAAAAUAAGGACAAAAAAACAGUGUUAUUGGUCCUAACUAAGCGUUUGAUGGUUGAACUGGAAGACCCACAAGAACGUCAAAGAUAAGCACUCUAGACACAGCAGCAAUCAGCUGGGUCCUCAGAGACUGAUCCAUGGAGUCUGACUGGAAGCCGUCCAGACAGA
Long non-coding RNA from Cynoglossus semilaevis (tongue sole), 481 nucleotides. RefSeq lists it as uncharacterized. The transcript has 4 exons. The record is from RefSeq and is a predicted model, not a curated record. NCBI's taxonomy places the organism in Eukaryota, Metazoa, Chordata, Actinopteri, Pleuronectiformes, Cynoglossidae.